Molecule: ribosomal RNA, 460 nt
Filed under: uncultured bacterium
Lineage: Bacteria
Description: partial 16S ribosomal RNA
Rfam family: Bacterial small subunit ribosomal RNA
Source: RNAcentral
CCUACGGGAGGCAGCAGUGAGGAAUAUUGGUCAAUGGACGAGAGUCUGAACCAGCCAAGUAGCGUGAAGGAUGACUGCCCUAUGGGUUGUAAACUUCUUUUAUAUGGGAAUAACAUGUUCCACGUGUGGGAUUUUGUAUGUACCAUAUGAAUAAGGAUCGGCUAACUCCGUGCCAGCAGCCGCGGUAAUACGGAGGAUCCGAGCGUUAUCCGGAUUUAUUGGGUUUAAAGGGAGCGUAGGUGGAUUGUUAAGUCAGUUGUGAAAGUUUGCGGCUCAACCGUAAAAUUGCAGUUGAAACUGGCAGUCGUGAGUACAGUAGAGGUGGGCGGAAUUCGUGGUGUAGCGGUGAAAUGCUUAGAUAUCACGAAGAACUCCGAUUGCGAAGGCAGCUCACUGGACUGCAACUGACACUGAGGCUCGAAAGUGUGGGUAUCAAACAGGAUUAGAUACCCCAGUAGUC